CAGCCGCCGCGGUAAUACGAAGGGGGCUAGCGUUGUUCGGAAUUACUGGGCGUAAAGCGCACGUAGGCGGAUAUUUAAGUCAGGGGUGAAAUCCCGCAGCUCAACUGCGGAACUGCCUUUGAUACUGGGUAUCUUGAGUAUGGAAGAGGUUAGUGGAAUUGCGAGUGUAGAGGUAAAAUUCGUAGAUAUUCGCAGGAACACCAGUGGCGAAGGCGGCUAACUGGUCCAUAACUGACGCUGAGGUGCGAAAGCGUGGGGAGCAAACAGGAUUAGAUACCCCUGUAGUCCCUGUCUCUUAUAC
Molecule: ribosomal RNA, 301 nt
Filed under: uncultured bacterium
Lineage: Bacteria
Description: partial 16S ribosomal RNA
Rfam family: Bacterial small subunit ribosomal RNA
Source: RNAcentral